CCUGCUGAUUUGAAAUUGGUUAGUAUAAAAUCCCUUUUGCAAACCAACCACCACCACGACGGCUUCACUCCGUCCGUCCUUUUGCAACCUCCUCGCCGGCGCUUAACCUCCUUCUCACUGCUUUCUUCACCAAACCCAGAGCCUCCCUCAAUUCAUUUGGUUAAAAAAGUUAUUGAGAGUUCAUCUUCUAGUCUAUUUAUCAGUGCUACUCUUGAGAUAUAGAGCAAUGUCAGUGAUGGGAACUGAUACAUCAUGGGUGGGCAGAAAACCUCUGAGGCGCAUAGGAGGGAUGUCAGAUGCCCUCUCCAUUGCCGCCGAUCUCGGCUUCUCUGUCGCCCCUCCUCCUUCUCAGGAAGAGAUCCAGACCCUAUCCACAAGCGAAAAAGGUGAUGAUUUGGUAAAGGUUUUAAGAGAGCUGACUGCUGUGCAAAGAAAAAUCGCAGAUUUGCAGGUGGAACUUCAAGGUCGGAAGGAGGACAAAAAUGUUGCUCAUCUCACCCAUGUGAGUGAAAUGGAAAAGAAGAUUGAGACUUUGUCAAGGAUAACUGCCAUAUUGAAAGAUGUCAUCCAAAAUAAGGAUCGCAUAAUAGCUCGUCUUCAGCAGCCAUAUUCAUUAGAUUGCAUCCCAGUUGAGGCUGAAUAUCAGAAACAAUUUUCAGAACUCUUAAUGAAGGCUGCAAGUGACUAUGGCGCCUUGACAGCAUCCAUUGCAGAUUUUCAGUGGACACAGAACUUCAAAGAACCACCAUCAGUUUGGGGGGAGAUGCUUCGUCCAAUCCCUGUUGCUUUAGCUUCAUGCACACGAUUCUUUGAAGCGAUGUCAGCAAUGAGAGACUCAUUUGCCACACUUCAGAAGUUGAGAGUGGGCCAUUCUUCUUCCUCCGCUAUGGCACCAAAUCCAGAUUCGUCACAAAGGAUACCGGGAGAUUCUGAUUGUGUAACUCCUCCCUGGAGAACUGAAUCAAGACUUGAGGACUUAGCUUCCAGAAGCCCGGCAAAGUCAGAGGUUGAUCGGGGGGAAGAUGAUGAUGAAAACAGUGAAGUGGGGGAGAAUAGUCAAGUUGAUGGAAUUAGUCACAGGAGAUUAUCUUGGCCACCGUCAAUCAAACAAAAUGGUCUGCAGUCAUAGCACGUUUAACUGCUGGAAUUUGGAAUCGAGUGAGGGAGUAUAGCACAAAAUUCAAUUAUUCAAUGCUGUCCCAGUGCUGUCAAUAGAACGUCAUUUGUUGUAUUCUUGCAUUAACUUUCACCAGAUGUGCUCAACUUCAAAUGGGCAGGUCUAAUCGUUAGCAAAAUCGAAAGGCAAAAGAAUCACUACCGAGUCUACUCUACGGUUCUAAUUGCUAUGACAGCAAAGGAGAAGGAAUUUGAGGCUCCAAAAAUACUCUGCCAUUUUUCAUGGAAGAAACGGUGCAAGGAUCAAAGACGAUUAAAGAAAGAAAGGAGUGGCAUAACAUUGUAGAUGAAUUAAAUAACUCAAAGCAAGAAGACAGCAGGGCUCUCCUUCAAUUUGGCACCACUUGAGACAGAUCUUUGGGACCAAUUACUUAUUUCUCACGGGUGUUUAUGUCAUUUGCCUUAUUCUUAUGAAUUUUUCUUGUCUAAUUUCCCUAUCAUCUCUCGCAAAAUUUUCUUUUUAUGGUCCUUUUGGAUGGAAAUGAAGUUUAUGACUUUCUAAAUAA
Non-coding RNA from Coffea arabica (coffee), 1682 nucleotides. The record is from RefSeq and is a predicted model, not a curated record. NCBI's taxonomy places the organism in Eukaryota, Viridiplantae, Streptophyta, Magnoliopsida, Gentianales, Rubiaceae.